This 876-nucleotide ribosomal RNA is filed under the name uncultured Nitrososphaerota archaeon. Its description in RNAcentral is "bacterial SSU rRNA". It matches the Rfam family "Archaeal small subunit ribosomal RNA", at positions 1 to 884 of the family's 1478-position model. Lineage: Archaea; Thermoproteati; Nitrososphaerota. The record is from RNAcentral.
UUCCGGUUGAUCCUGCCGGACCUGACUGCUAUCGGAUUGAUACUAGGCCAUGCGAGUCAUUGUAGCAAUACAAGGCAUACGGCUCAGUAACGCGUAGUCAACCUACCCUAUGGGCGGAAAUAACCUCGGGAAACUGAGAAUAAUAUCCGAUAGAACAUUAUGCCUGGAAUGGUUUAUGUUCCAACUGAUUUAUCGCCGUAGGAUGGGACUGCGGCCUAUCAGUUUGUUGGUGAGGUAAUGGCCCACCAAGACUAUUACAGGUACGGGCUCUGAGAGGAGUAGCCCGGAGAUGGGUACUGAGACACGGACCCAGGCCCUAUGGGGCGCAGCAGGCGGGAAAACUUUGCAAUGUGCGAAAGCACGACAAGGUCAAUCCGAGUGAUUUCUGCUAAAGAAAUCUUUUGUUAGUCCUAGAAACACUAACGAAUAAGGGGUGGGCAAGUUCUGGUGUCAGCCGCCGCGGUAAAACCAGCACCUCAAGUGGUCAGGAUGAUUAUUGGGCCUAAAGCAUCCGUAGCCGGCUCUGUUAGUCCUCGGUUAAAUCUGUACGCUUAACGUACAGGCUGCCGGGAAUACUGCAUAGCUAGGGAGUGGGAGAGGUAGACGGUACUCGGUAGGAAGGGGUAAAAUCCUUUGAUCUAUUGAUGACCACCUGUGGCGAAGGCGGUCUACCAGAACACGUCCGACGGUGAGGGAUGAAAGCUGGGGGAGCAAACCGGAUUAGAUACCCGGGUAGUCCCAGCUGUAAACUAUGCAAACUCAGUGAUGCAUUGGCUUGUGGCCAAUGCAGUGCUGCAGGGAAGCCGUUAAGUUUGCCGCCUGGGAAGUACGUACGCAAGUAUGAAACUUAAAGGAAUUGGCGGGGGAGCACCACAA